RNAcentral lists this ribosomal RNA (286 nucleotides) under Escherichia coli. RNAcentral describes it as "partial 23S ribosomal RNA". It matches the Rfam family "Bacterial large subunit ribosomal RNA", at positions 1660 to 1926 of the family's 2925-position model. The record is from RNAcentral. Lineage: Bacteria; Pseudomonadati; Pseudomonadota; Gammaproteobacteria; Enterobacterales; Enterobacteriaceae.
CAGGUGGUCAGGUAGAGAAUACCAAGGCGCUUGAGAGAACUCGGGUGAAGGAACUAGGCAAAAUGGUGCCGUAACUUCGGGAGAAGGCACGCUGAUAUGUAGGUGAAGCGACUUGCUCGUGGAGCUGAAAUCAGUCGAAGAUACCAGCUGGCUGCAACUGUUUAUUAAAAACACAGCACUGUGCAAACACGAAAGUGGACGUAUACGGUGUGACGCCUGCCCGGUGCCGGAAGGUUAAUUGAUGGGGUUAGCGGUAACGCGAAGCUCUUGAUCGAAGCCCCGGUAA